GCUGUCUUCCUUCCUCACCUCCAAUUUCCUCUUCAACCCACUGCUUCCUGACUCGCUCUACUCCGUGGAAGCACGCUCACAAAGUUCCUGACCUGGCCAUCCCGGGGUGCCCUUGACCAGCCCCGUGUCUCCUCAGGGUGUCCCAGCACCAGCCUGGCACAGAGUGGGGCUCAGUUAGAGUAUGUGGGAUGUUGGUUUCGCCAGGCACGUGGGCCGUGGCCCGGCUGGGUCGGCUGAAGAACUGCGGAUGGAAGCUGCGGAAGAGGCCCUGAUGGGGCCCACCAUCCCGGACCCAAGUCUUCUUCCUGGCGGGCCUCUCGUCUCCUUCCUGGUUUGGGCGGAAGCCAUCACCUGGAUGCCUACGUGGGAAGGGACCUCGAAUGUGGGACCCCAGCCCCUCUCCAGCUCGAAAUCAGUUUGCCCUGCCCCCCAUUCCAACGUGGGCUGCUGCUUCUCCCCAGCGGGUUGUAGCUGGCAGGGCCGUUGUGCUUUGGGGUUUGCUGUACCUGUCGCUGCCGUGAGGGGACGAUCUGUCUGCCCGGAGGGGUUUCUGCAAACAUUCAUCCUCCACAGCCACGGGGACACCCUGCACCUAUUCCCACGGGACAGGCUGGACCCAGAGACUCUGGACCCGGGGCCUCCCC
Homo sapiens (human) is the source of this 644-nucleotide long non-coding RNA. Ensembl annotates it as maternally expressed 3. Its record names the gene MEG3. The record is from Ensembl. Lineage: Eukaryota; Metazoa; Chordata; Mammalia; Primates; Hominidae.